CCUACGGGAUGCAGCAGUGAGGAAUAUUGGUCAAUGGGCGCGAGCCUGAACCAGCCAAGUAGCGUGAAGGAUGACUGCCCUACGGGUUGUAAACUUCUUUUAUAAAGGAAUAAAGUGAGGCACGUGUGCCGUUUUGUAUGGACUUUAUGAAUAAGGAUCGGCUAACUCCGUGCCAGCAGCCGCGGUAAUACGGAGGAUCCGAGCGUUAUCCGGAUUGAUUGGGGUUAAAGGGAGCGUAGAGGGGUUGUUAAGUCCGUUGUGAAAGUUUGCGGCUCAACCGUAAAAUUGCAAUUGAUACUGGCAGUCUUGCGUACCGUUGCGGUAGGCGGAAUUCGUUGUGUAGCGG
RNAcentral lists this ribosomal RNA (346 nucleotides) under uncultured bacterium. RNAcentral describes it as "partial 16S ribosomal RNA". It matches the Rfam family "Bacterial small subunit ribosomal RNA", at positions 338 to 681 of the family's 1533-position model. The record is from RNAcentral.